GCACUGCUGAGGAGUCUCAUAAUGAGACGAAACGGCCGUUCAGUGC
This 46-nucleotide non-coding RNA is filed under the name Schistosoma haematobium. Lineage: Eukaryota; Metazoa; Platyhelminthes; Trematoda; Strigeidida; Schistosomatidae. The record is from RNAcentral.